RNAcentral lists this transfer RNA (85 nucleotides) under Kistimonas sp. RNAcentral's name for it is "tRNA-Leu". It matches the Rfam family "tRNA". Rfam says of the family: Transfer RNA (tRNA) molecules are approximately 80 nucleotides in length. Their secondary structure includes four short double-helical elements and three loops (D, anti-codon, and T loops). Further hydrogen bonds mediate the characteristic L-shaped molecular structure. tRNAs have two regions of fundamental functional importance: the anti-codon, which is responsible for specific mRNA codon recognition, and the 3' end, to which the tRNAs corresponding amino acid is attached (by aminoacyl-tRNA synthetases). tRNAs cope with the degeneracy of the genetic code in two manners: having more than one tRNA (with a specific anti-codon) for a particular amino acid; and 'wobble' base-pairing, i.e. permitting non-standard base-pairing at the 3rd anti-codon position. Lineage: Bacteria; Pseudomonadati; Pseudomonadota; Gammaproteobacteria; Oceanospirillales; Endozoicomonadaceae. The record is from RNAcentral.
GCGGAUGUGGUGGAACUGGUAGACACGCUGGCUUUAGGUGCCAGUGCCGAGAGGUGUGAGAGUUCGAAUCUCUCCAUCCGCACCA